RNAcentral lists this long non-coding RNA (524 nucleotides) under Zea mays. Its description in RNAcentral is "long non-coding RNA NONZMAT003713". Lineage: Eukaryota; Viridiplantae; Streptophyta; Magnoliopsida; Poales; Poaceae. The record is from RNAcentral.
CGGUGGCACACCCAUCGCCGCCUUUCUUUAGUGCCACUGAGUGGCCGGUGUCUCUCUCUCUCUCUCGUUCUUGCUUCCUGCUGUCGUCGAACACCGACAUCCGACUCCGAAGCCGCCAGCCCAUUGCACCGCGCCCCCGCCCCCUCUUCUGCUUGUGUUGAUCGCUCCGCCACUGCCUAAGAGGGCAGGAGGCCACCCCGGACGCUGCAGGGUGCAGGUGCAGCCUUGCCCUCAUGUGGUGUUGGAUUGUUGGACGAUGGAUCCUUGGUGCCUAGGUGCAGUGCAUACAAAAUACGGGAGCUAUUUUGUGUGUGGUCUUAUGAAUCAAUGACACUAUUUGCAUUUUACGUACUUCGCUGUUCUUUUGAAUCAAUGACACUGGUUGAAUGAUUGCAUCUUGUGUACAUGAUACAUACACUAGUCCUGUAUGGCGUGGUUGUAUCAACUAUAGAUUAUCAACUAUGUUUGUUUCCCUCUUAUGAUUUUGUUAUGUAGUGUGGUGCCAUUUGGUUAGUGAUUGUUGU